AGUGAACGCUGGCGGUAUGCCUAACACAUGCAAGUCGAACGGCAGCACAGUAAGACCUGGCUCUUACGUGUCGCGAGUGGCGGGCGGGUGAGGUAUACAUCGGAAUCUACUUUUUCGUGGGAGAUCACGUAGGGAAACUUACUCUAAUACCGCAUACGCCGUACAGGUAAAAGCAGGGCAUCUGCGGAUCUUGCUCGAUGGAAUGAGCCGAUGUCGGAUUAGCUAGUUGGCGGGGUAAAGGCCCACCAAGGCCACGAUCCGUAGCUGGUCUGAGAGGAUGAUCAGCCACACUGGAACUGAGACACGGCCCAGACUCCUACGGGAGGCAGCAGUGGGGAAUAUUGGACAAUGGGCGCAAGCCUGAUCCAGCCAUACCGCGUGGGUGAAGAAGGCCUUCGGGUUGUAAAGCCCUUUUGUUGGGAAAGAAAAGCAGCAGGUUAAUACACCGCUGUUAUGACGGUACCCACAGAAUAAGCACCGGCUAACUUCGUG
Molecule: ribosomal RNA, 492 nt
Filed under: uncultured bacterium
Lineage: Bacteria
Description: partial 16S ribosomal RNA
Rfam family: Bacterial small subunit ribosomal RNA
Source: RNAcentral